Long non-coding RNA from Bacillus rossius redtenbacheri, 1738 nucleotides. RefSeq lists it as uncharacterized. The record is from RefSeq and is a predicted model, not a curated record. Lineage: Eukaryota; Metazoa; Arthropoda; Insecta; Phasmatodea; Bacillidae. The transcript is spliced from 3 exons.
UUUUGGCUUUCUGUAACACGCCAUUAUUGGGCGAAUACAAACUUAUCACUUUAAUAUUUUUCUUUCCACAGUCACGAAAGAAAUGCUAUUCUGCACUCCCAAGAAUACACUGAAGUGGAAACCGACGAUGCUACAAAACAUCCUUCAACUCCUAGGGAUGGUGACGUGCAUGUGACAGAGCACUUUAGUCAUUUUAGCGACGAUUUAAAAUUUCCUGUUGAUCAGCUCAUGCGCCUAAGUUCUACACCCACAAGAAAGAAUGGAGACCCAAGUAACGUAGGCGCAACAGGAUCUGAUGGAUCGAUAUUGUUGGAUAUGGACACUUGUCAAAUAAACGUUAUUGAAAGUGCAUAUACCGAGCCUAGUGCAGCAAACGAUUCUUUAGCGAGUCAGGAAGUUUCUCGUUAUUUGCUGCCAAGUUCUACACCCACAAGAAAGAAUGGAGACCCAAGUAACGUAGGCGCAACAGGAUCUGAUGGAUCGAUAUUGUUGGAUAUGGACACUUGUCAAAUAAACGUUAUUGAAAGUGCAUAUACCGAGCCUAGUGCAGCAAACGAUUCUUUAGCGAGUCAGGAAGUUUCUCGUUAUUUGCUGCCGUAAGUACAACAUAUUUCUGUAUUUUACAUAUGCUUCUUUAUACAGGGCAUAUUUCAGUUACUAUUAGCGAAAAGAAAUGUCUACAGUGUCUUGUUUUUGCUACUGUUACUGUAAGGUAAUGUCAAAUAGCUGUUACAUGAGCGAAAACUCUCUUUUGCGUCAAAUACAUUUCACAUACAAUGGUGGGUUUAUAUAAUUCAUCUUUACGCAAAUACAUGCUAUCAUUUUUCAGAAGUUCUACACCCACAAGAAAGAAUGGAGACCCAAGUAACGUAGCCGCAACAGGAUCUGAUGGAUCGAUAUUGUUGGAUAUGGACACUUGUCAAAUAAACGUUAUUGAAAGUGCAUAUACCGAGCCUAGUGCAGCAAACGAUCCUUCGCUUACACAUGAAGUUCCUCUUUCACCACUGCCGUAAGUAGAGAACGUGUUACUGCGUUUAAUUUUUCUGGUUGUUGAUAAGUAUAAAUCUCUAACAAGAGAGAUUUAAAAUAUUGCAAUGGAGCAGUAUUUCAUUCUAUUUAAUUAAGUUUUAUAUAAGAGUUUGAUAAUUGUGGUACAAUUAACUCUUGUAGAAACAUAUCAUUUGCUCAAAUAGAUGUGUGAAACAUGCCUCGUGGGCCUAUGCUGCUUGAAUAUUUUUGUUUCCAAAAUUAUUAUUAAUUGGUAAAUAAACAUUAAUGAAUACCAAUCAUUUUUGGCAUUUCCGGAACAAAUUCUGGAAUACCAUGCGCUUAUAUUAUGUCGAACUAUGGUCGAAUAGAAUUUAGGCUACAAUGGAAACCAUAGUGUAGCCUACUUAAAUUUUUCUCCUUGACAACCGUUUCUUGUGAAGUGCUCCGUUUUCGAUUGAAAUCAUUUUAUUUUUAUAAGUGUUUCCAAAACGAAUUUCGGAAAAAGAAGUAGAAACAAUGGGUGUAUUUUUUUAGUGAAUUUUAAAUUAUUAAAGAUAAAGUUGAUUUUCUUUAAUUUAAGUCUUCCCAUGUAGGUUGUAAGAAGCGUUUACUAUUUAUUAUAUUAAUUGUUAGGGUUUUUUAGUCAUUGCAUUGUAAAAAAUUAAGUGGAUUUCGUUGGAUUUUGGAUAUGGUAAUCCACAAAUAUUUAUUUGAAUUUUUACUUUAUAAAAAUUUUUUAUAUUUUCCC